GACGCAGCAAAAAGAUGGCCAUCUUUAAACGGGGAAGAGCUUUCACCAAAACCGGACCAUGCUGGUACUGUAAUCUUGCACUUCCAGCCGCCAGAGCUGUGAGAAGUUUGUUGCUAAUGGUACUGGAGUUUGCUAUCCGGGCUAAUCCAGCAGAUAUUCCUUCUUCCUAGAGAGAGGGCGGAGUGUUUCGUGUGAAAUUUGGCUCCUUUUCUCUGAGGAAGCUAGCAGAACAGUUGGAAGCAAGACGAGGCAAUCCAACGGCUGCCAUGAAGCAGAGGGCAUAUACAUCAGGGAAAGCAAACAAACAUCUGCUUAUUGCUAGAAUGUAAACAAAAAGUUACAUGUAUCUCCCUCAGUGGAGAUAUGGACCAAGGUUGCAGCUGUCAGGAUCUCUGCUUCUAAAUUGGUUAGAGCCUAGAAGAUGUGGAUGCUGACAUUUAAGGGAGUGGACCACUCUUACUAAGAACACCAACCUUGGUAGUUAGGGAUAAGGACAACUUGGAAGAGAUCCAAGUCUAGCUGCCAGAUACAGCUCUUCUUUUAACAAAGGGAAAAUGAAGCAUCCUGUUUGAAUGGAGCUUUCCCUGAUUUAUGGUGAAAUUGUUCAUCUCUGAUCCUUUAUUUAAAACCACAUGCAAUCUGUGUAUCUACUACUAAAUUGGA
Molecule: long non-coding RNA, 663 nt
Organism: Lemur catta (Ring-tailed lemur)
Lineage: Eukaryota; Metazoa; Chordata; Mammalia; Primates; Lemuridae
Exons: 3
Source: RefSeq, a predicted model, not a curated record